UGUGUUUUUCGAGUUUGGUUUCGUUAAUGCGUGAAACAUAGCUUUUUGUGGUUCAUCCGAGAUUAAGGCUUCAUCGUUCCCUUCCUUCCUUACAGAAUUCAAACCGCCGUUUUACCAUUUCAUGAUCUGGAAACUACCUCUUCUCUUCUUAUCUCUAUACCUCCCCUGACGUUAUCUCUUCACCUCCUCUGAGGUUCGUUGUAUUGCUUUUAAUUCGGGAAUCAUUGUUAAUCACAUUAAACCCAGUCAUGAUGUUGACUCCUCUAUUUCCUUCAUCUGAUAUCUAUAGAUAUGAGCGGCUUAUGAGGAUGAUUGACCCUCAGAAUCACUGUCAGUUUAUCAGAGAUGUCUUCCUUCGAUGUUGUUAUCGUGCACUCCGCCUUCGACGCUCUCCGACUCGGUAGAUCUGCCCAGACCAUUGGUUGUCGUCGCCUCCAUUUUUGGACUCGAAAAACAUCAAGAAACAAGAUGAAUUCACGGGAAUCACUCUACUCCUCCUUUAUAAGAAGAAAUCGGUGAUACGUGGGUUCAUUCCUGCUGGCUGCGCCCCUUAUUACCAUCCGUCUUUGCGAGCAGGUUCAGUCAGGAUGGUCUCAGGAUUUGAAGUUGCAUGAUGUACAAAUAUGCAAAAGAUUACGGAACACCCUUUCGUGGUCCGGUUCAUACCCCAAACCACCAUUGAUGAAGUAAUCGAGAAUGCUCUCGUCAUCAACCUAGAGAAAUUCAUGCUGCGGAAGUUUGAUCCUCUUCAAGCUCUCGCUAACACUAAUUUAGAACUCCCUGUUGUUGUUGGGCAAUUUCAAUCUGUCCAAUGUUUGGACCUGAAGGACGCUACAGUGAUGAGUCAAGUUGUUAUUCGUUUCAUGAUUGAACCGUAAGUAACCAAAACCAUGAAUUAUUUCAAUUUCCAUAACAAGAGGGAGGUUGUGCAUCUUUGUGGGAUGAUGAAGGAGCAGUUUUUAGGGGUCUCUUCAACUGAGGUGAUAGGGCAGAGUCUGUAAUGGUGGUCACUACUGUGAAUCCCGAAAUAUUUGGAGGUAACCUAUACCUCAACUCAACACCAGCAACGAAAUUUUAUUUUGACCUAGUCCUUCAAGCCAUCACAGAGUUCACAGCCAGCUUAAAAGGCUCAGUUGGAGAAGUUUUCCAAUGUAUCGAUACCAAAGACGAAGAGAUAAAAAAAGGAAGUUGUCUCAAUAGGAGAUCUUAACAAGUUCAUCUCCAAUUCUGACGACCAGACACAUGAAGCUGAUUUUAUUUGCAAAGCUCGGGUUGUUGAGGUGUUGCAACAAAAUGGCUGGUCUUUUGUCUCUUGCUCUGGAUGCAGCAGGGAGCUUGACAAAUCAGGGACUUCUCUCCAUUGCAACUGAUGUGUUAAUCCGAACGUUACCAAAGUUAUAAAAGAGAUUCUUAAACUCACUAAGCAAGAGGCAGCUUCUCUGACUCUAGAUGAGAUGAAUGUUGGUGGCGGUGUGGAACUCCCACAAUGCCUGAAAGAACUAGCUGGAAAAUAUUUUGUAUUUCAGAUAUGUGUGAAACCAUUAAAUUUCACCCCGAACCACCAUACUUUCACUGUUUUUGCAAUCGUGAAUCACAUCAACCCGAGAUUUUCAAUACCAAUGAAGCAUCAUUUGUUCAAGAGGAAGGUGGUGAACCAUCCGCAUCUGUCACCUACAAAGUUGGUGGUAAAGCCAAUGAACCAUAUCCAUCCGGUGUUGAAGACCAAGAGGGUGGCCGUAAACGCCCCCGCGAUUGAAAUUACAAAGCUGUUAAGUGUUGACCCAAGUCUGCUUCUGUGUCUUUACAAUUUCAGGACCUACUUUGCAUUUCCUAUUUGAGACUCUUAUAUUUUUUUUUCAAAUUUCCAGGUUUUUUUGGCCAUUUACGGCUAACUAAUUCCAUGAGGAGAACAGUUUUAAAGAUUUAAUAUAAAAAGGGCCAGUUGACAAAAU
Molecule: long non-coding RNA, 1952 nt
Organism: Brassica oleracea var. oleracea
Lineage: Eukaryota; Viridiplantae; Streptophyta; Magnoliopsida; Brassicales; Brassicaceae
Exons: 9
Source: RefSeq, a predicted model, not a curated record